Molecule: ribosomal RNA, 245 nt
Filed under: uncultured bacterium
Lineage: Bacteria
Description: partial 16S ribosomal RNA
Rfam family: Bacterial small subunit ribosomal RNA
Source: RNAcentral
AUGGCGACCGGCGCACGGGUGAGUAACGCGUAUGCAACCUGCCCGAUACCGGGGUAUAGCCCAUGGAAACGUGGAUUAACACCCCAUAGUACUUUUAUCCUGCAUGGGAUGUGAGUUAAAUGUUCAAGGUAUCGGAUGGGCAUGCGUCCUAUUAGUUAGUUGGCGGGGUAACAGCCCACCAAAACGAUGAUAGGUAGGGGUUCUGAGAGGAAGGUCCCCCACAUUGGAACUGAGACACGGUCCAA